UAGAUAGGUAUUGGAAAGCGAUAGUCAACCAUUUGAACGAUCUCUUGAAAAUCUUGCAAGAAAAUUGUGUCCCAACAAUUUUUUCUCGGAAGAUAUUUACACAGAUUUUUGCAUUCAUCAAUGCUCAACUCUUCAAUAGUCUUCUUGUACGGCGAGAGUG
Hordeum vulgare subsp. vulgare (domesticated barley) is the source of this 160-nucleotide long non-coding RNA. RefSeq lists it as uncharacterized. The record is from RefSeq and is a predicted model, not a curated record. NCBI's taxonomy places the organism in Eukaryota, Viridiplantae, Streptophyta, Magnoliopsida, Poales, Poaceae. The transcript has 3 exons.